Molecule: long non-coding RNA, 3590 nt
Filed under: Malus domestica (apple)
Lineage: Eukaryota; Viridiplantae; Streptophyta; Magnoliopsida; Rosales; Rosaceae
Description: long non-coding RNA (MDOM_LNC011177)
Source: RNAcentral
GAACUAAUUUUCAUCCAUUCAUAAAAGUAAUUCAAACAAAAUGUCAUAACAACUUGCAAUCAUAUUCGGGCUUCAAAAUAGCCCCUAACUACUAAAAAUUAGUUACACAUAAUCCUUAAAUAAAACCAAAAUAAAGACAUGAGUUUGAGAAGAUAAAACUGCAAGAAGAGAAUGCCAAGAUUUCCUCCUUCCUUUCCUUCCUUCCCCAACGUUGCUGCCUUGCCUUUUCGUUCUGUUCUUUUUUUUUUCUCCUCUCCCUUUGCCGCUGCAACCUACAGCCUUUUUGUUCUUGCUUGUUGCCCCAAUUUCUUCUCCAUAACUCACCCUACUAACAGCCAUUUAGUGAUGACAAUAAGUGAGAGGAAAUGGUAAAACAAUUGUAACUCUUUAGGCAACCUUUAUGCCCAUUACUCCCACUUAAUCCUCAUCUUUAAUUCCAUUUCCUCUGAUAUUUGAAUAGGUGUCAGCUGACUUGUUCUUGGCUACAUUAGUUUUGGCUGAUAGAUUUAUUGGAUUUAUUGCUUUCAAUGCAUUCUUGUCAGUUACAAACUGCUCAGCCUCUUGGGAACCUUUCAGUGUUAAAACAACCAUAACUUCUUCUAGAAAAAUGAUAUUAGCAAUCUGUGAAAUGCUCCAGAAAAUAGACAUCCGUAGUUUUCCAAGCAUAUAAAGUUCAUUCUCUAAUUGAUUCUGAACUGUUCGCAACUUGCUUUCAAAGUCAGUUGAUCUGCAUAGGCAUUUUUGACGAAUUUGUUACUUAAAAUCCCACUUGUGCUAUUUUAUUUUUCUUUUCUUUGCUUGACAAAUCCCAAAAAAUACCAAAACAAAGUAAAUAGCUCAAAAAUAUAAGAAACUAACUAAGAAAAGACAAGUGAAUUUGAUGUAAAAUAUAUAGAAAUAUGAGCUUAUCAACCUCAAAGAGAACAUCUCCAGAUUCUGUUUGAUGAUUAGGCACUGAAUUCAUUAGAGUAUAUGAAUUAUCAAGAUGCAAAAGUUUUUCCAAGUACACACCAAAAAGAACAUUCAAUUUGUCAUUAACCUUUGUAAAUUCAACCGAAUUCACACCAUGAAGCUUUGUGUAAGUCCAAUCCACAAAAUGCAAUUUAUAAUGAGGGUCUAAGAUGAUUGCAAUUGCCAAAAUCAAACUGUACUCUGACCACUACUUCUCAAACUUCGUGUACAUGUAAGUCUCCAUCUUAUUCAUGAAACUUUUAGAGUUAUCCAUGGCUGCCUUAAUUUGAAGUUUGAUUAAGAACACCUUAGGGAAGAACAAAUUUGAUAUGGGGUAUUUUGUCCUAGAGAAUAAUCACGUAACCUUAUAAAAGUACCCAAAAAACUUGGAAAUCUUCAUUAUUUUAUCUCACUCUUCAGAAGAAGGACAACUACUAAAAUUGGAAUCACUUAACCCUAAAUGAAUCAAAGCAUAUCGAUAGAAAAUUGCACUAUCUAGCAUAACAUAGGUUGAGUUCCAUCUAGUAGGGACAUCUUGUCUCAAACCUCUCCUAGCAUCCAAUAUCCCUACUUGUCUAACACAUUCAUAAAACUUUAGUUUCCUAGCCUCAGAGCCCUUUAUAUACUUGAUGCAUUCACGAAUCUUUAUCACCGAAGAAUCAAUUUCUUUAAGUCCAUCUUGGACUAUCAAAUUCAAAACAUGAGCACAACAACACACAUGAAAGAAGUCACCAUUCAUCACGAGAAGACUUCUAAGAUUCAAUUGAUUCUUCAAAACGCUAACAAAAUAAAUAUUUGAAGAAGCAUUAUCCAAAGUAAUAGAAAAUAACUUCUUCUCAAUCCCCCACUCAGUCACCAAUGCAUUAAUUUUCUCAAAUAAUGCAACACCAAUAUGUGGAGGAGGUAUGUGACAAAAACUUAAAAUUCUUUUAUGCAAUUUCCAAUCUUUGUCUACAAAGUGAGCAGUAAGAGCAAGAUACCUAUCAGUGCAUUGCAAGGUCCAUAAGUCUGAUAUCAAACAAAUUCUACCUUCAACUGAGCCUAACAAAUUAUGAAGCCUUUGUUUUUCAUUUUUGAACAUCCUCAACACACAGGCUUUAAUUGUAUUUCUACACGGUAACUUAAUAUCAUGAGAUAUUUAUGCAAACAAAGUCCUAAUUCCCUCAUAUUCAGAAAAACUAAAAGGAAGAUUAUGCUUUAUGAUGACCUCUACCAAUAAGCCAUGGAAUACCACAGGAUCAAAGUUUUGGGAACAUAAUUCAGACACCGACAAUAAUUCACCAGUCAAUCCAGGGCAUGUUUUCAAAUGUCUAUUCAUAUUACCCGUCCCAUGAUGACUAUCAUCUACUACCAAUUUCUUACAAUCUUUACAUUGAGCAUGACUUUUACCAUCUUCAAAAAUAGUAGUCAAUUUGUUGAAAGUUUUGCAAACAUGAGACAUGAGUGUUUGCUUACCUAAUUUGAUCACUCUAGCCUUUUUCUUUGCCGAACUUGUAUUUGUAUCUUCUGUAUUUUCACUUCCAUGAUCAGGUUGUAUUCCCAUUGUAACUUCCAUUGACGCUCCAUCACUAAGGUUCGUAAAAUCUUGCUCUACAACAUCCAUUGCUUCAAGAAAGAAAAACAAAACUGUAAAAUUUUGCUCAUACCAAUUCCAUACCAUAUCCAUUUCAAUUUCAAUUUCACAUAUCCAUAUCCAUUUAAAUUCACAUAUCCAUUUCAAUUUCAAUUUCACAUUUCCAUUCCAAAUUCACAUAUCCAAUUCAAUUUCAAAAUCCAAAUCACAUAUCCACAAAUCAGAAUCCAAUUCAAAUUUACUUUCAAAUUCACAAUUCAAUUAAAAAUACCUUGCACUUGUAGGUUGCAGCCUUGCUUAAUUGCUUUGCUUGUUCCAAAUCUUCAAAUGUGGAAAACAAAUAUAGACCCCACUUAUUAACUUCAAGUAAAUAGACCCCAAAUGAAACAUAGAUACAAAAGAACUAGAGGCAUUCACAAUUAAAAAAAAAAAAAGACCUACCUGCUAAUUGCCAAUACUUGGGGACAAAUAAUUGGACAUUGCAUCUACUACAGCAAAACAAAAAUAGGUGGGGCAUUACUACACUGUCGUUGCCUGCUUCACAUGCCACUUAAAUUCUAACCUCCCCAGUUCCCUGAAAACAUAUCCCCAAUAUAUAUACUCCCAAAUUUCAAUGCUUGAUUCUAUUUCUGCCUCGUCCUUUUGUGAUUUUCAAGCUUAUGAAGCCAACACGAAGCACGCUUACUCAAUCGCUGGGUUUUUUUGAAUGUUUGCAAACAUGCCCCAACCCAGAAACUCCAAAAUCUCCAAAAUCAGAAAACCCCAGAAACCCCAAACCCAGAAAAUUCCCAACCAUUAGUUUUAAUUUUAACGAAAACCCCAAAUCACUAGUUUUUGAAAAAAAAAAACACAAAAUACGCAAAAAUACAACAUUCAUACCUUUAGCGUGUGCUUGCCUGUGUGUGGUUUUCUUGUGGCUGUCGGAGUCGAGUUGAAGGAAGUGAACGGAGAAGGAUGCGAGACAGAUGCGGAUUAAGGAGACGGCAUGUGAGUAAGUCUGGACUGGAGAGAUCAUAGUGAAUGAGAGAGAAGAGAAGGAUAACGUCUAACCUAAUGCACAAUGGAC